Molecule: non-coding RNA, 575 nt
Organism: Peromyscus leucopus (white-footed mouse)
Lineage: Eukaryota; Metazoa; Chordata; Mammalia; Rodentia; Cricetidae
Source: the annotation of a RefSeq genome assembly
UUCAUGUGAAGAGUCAAGCACAUUACUUGAUGACACUAAAGAUGAACAUUUCUCCAGCUUUAGUGACUGUGAUGCUGCUGUUCAUGCUUGAGAGGACCCAUGGAGAUUCGGUGACUCAGAAACAAGCUCAAAUGACUCUCUCAGAAGAUGAUGUCCUAUUUAUAAACUGCACUUAUUCAGCCACAGGGUAUCCAACUCUUUUCUGGUAUGUUCAGUACCCUGGAGAAGGUCCAGAGCUGCUUUUGAAAGUCACAACAGCCAACAACAAGGGAAGCAGCCGUGGUUUUGAAGCUACAUAUGAUAAAGGAUCCACCUCCUUCCACUUGCAGAAAGCCAUGGUCAAAGAGUCUGACUCAGCUGUGUACUACUGUGCUCUGAGUGACACACAGUGGCAGAAACCACUGUGGGAGCUGAGCAUAAACUCAGCACAGGGGCCUGAUGCUGAGCACCUGCCUCUGGGAUCUCUUUUGUUUCUCUGUGCUGUGUGCCUCUCCAUUUCUUUAGUUGGCACAAAAAUCAUAGGAAUAGCUACAGCAGAAGAACAAGAAGUAGAGUCUUCCGCACUCAACUCUUGA